This 332-nucleotide ribosomal RNA is filed under the name uncultured Nitrosospira sp. Its description in RNAcentral is "bacterial SSU rRNA". It matches the Rfam family "Bacterial small subunit ribosomal RNA", at positions 319 to 643 of the family's 1533-position model. Lineage: Bacteria; Pseudomonadati; Pseudomonadota; Betaproteobacteria; Nitrosomonadales; Nitrosomonadaceae. The record is from RNAcentral.
CUGAGACACGGCCCAGACUCCUACGGGAGGCAGCAGUGGGGAAUUUUGGACAAUGGGGGAAACCCUGAUCCAGCCAUGCCGCGUGAGUGAAGAAGGCCUUCGGGUUGUAAAGCUCUUUCAGCCGGAACGAAACGGUCACGGCUAAUACCUGUGACUACUGACGGUACCGGAAGAAGAAGCACCGGCUAACUACGUGCCAGCAGCCGCGGUAAUACGUAGGGUGCAAGCGUUAAUCGGAAUUACUGGGCGUAAAGCGUGCGCAGGCGGUUUUGUAAGUCAGAUGUGAAAUCCCCGGGCUUAACCUGGGGACUGCGUUUGAAACUACAAAGCUA